Molecule: ribosomal RNA, 460 nt
Filed under: uncultured bacterium
Lineage: Bacteria
Description: partial 16S ribosomal RNA
Rfam family: Bacterial small subunit ribosomal RNA
Source: RNAcentral
CCUACGGGUGGCUGCAGUGAGGAAUAUUGGUCAAUGGGCGCGAGCCUGAACCAGCCAAGUAGCGUGAAGGAUGACUGCCCUACGGGUUGUAAACUUCUUUUAUAAAGGAAUAAAAUGAGGCACGUGUGCCUUUUUGUAUGUACUUUAUGAAUAAGGAUCGGCUAACUCCGUGCCAGCAGCCGCGGUAAUACGGAGGAUCCGAGCGUUAUCCGGAUUUAUUGGGUUUAAAGGGAGCGUAGAUGGGUUGUUAAGUCAGUUGUGAAAGUUUGCGGCUCAACCGUAAAAUUGCAAUUGAUACUGGCAGGCUUGAGUACAGGUGAGGUAGGCGGAAUUCGUGGUGUAGCGGUGAAAUGCUUAGAUAUCACGAAGAACUCCGAUUGCGAAGGCAGCUUACUAAACUGUGACUGACAUUGAUGCUCGAAAGUGUGGGUAUCAAACAGGAUUAGAUACCCUAGUAGUC